CAAUAGCGUAUAUUAAAGUUGUUGCAGUUAAAAAGCUCGUAGUUGGAUUUGUGGCGUACGGUGUGUUCCGGGCACUUGUUGUCUGAGUAACCUGCUGUUGCCAUCCUUGGGUGGAACCUGUGUGGCAUUAGGUUGUCGUGCAAGGGAUGCCCAUCAUUUACUGUGAAAAAAUUAGAGUGUUCAAAGCAGGCUUAUGCCGUUGAAUAUAUUAGCAUGGAAUAAUGAGAUAGGACUUUUUUGCUAUUUUGUUGGUUUGCGCAAAGAGGUAAUGAUUAAUAGGGACAGUUGGGGGUAUUCGUAUUCCAUUGUCAGAGGUGAGAUUCUUGGAUUUUUGGAAGACGAACUACUGCGAAAGCAUUUACCAAGGAUGUUUUCAUUAA
This 380-nucleotide ribosomal RNA is filed under the name uncultured eukaryote. RNAcentral describes it as "partial 18S ribosomal RNA". It matches the Rfam family "Eukaryotic small subunit ribosomal RNA", at positions 592 to 976 of the family's 1831-position model. The record is from RNAcentral.